Molecule: ribosomal RNA, 255 nt
Filed under: uncultured bacterium
Lineage: Bacteria
Description: partial 16S ribosomal RNA
Rfam family: Bacterial small subunit ribosomal RNA
Source: RNAcentral
CACGGUAGGGCGCAAGCGUUGUCCGGAAUUAUUGGGCGUAAAGAGCUCGUAGGCGGUCUGUUGCGUCUGCUGUGAAACCCGGGGCUUAACCCCUGGCUUGCAGUGGAUACGGACGAGACUAGAGGUAGGUAGGGGAGAAUGGAAUUCCCGGUGUAGCGGUGAAAUGCGCAGAUAUCAGGAGGAACACCGGUGGCGAAGGCGGUUCUCUGGGCAUUACCUGACGGCUGAGGAGCGAAAGUGUGGGGAGCGAACAGG